Molecule: long non-coding RNA, 5493 nt
Organism: Quercus robur (English oak)
Lineage: Eukaryota; Viridiplantae; Streptophyta; Magnoliopsida; Fagales; Fagaceae
Exons: 4
Source: RefSeq, a predicted model, not a curated record
UCUCUGAUUCUCUUUUUUAUUUUUAUUUUUAUUUUUUUUAUAAAUUAUUAUGUUAAUAUUUUUUUAGUUGUUAAUAAAGCUCAGAUCUAUUCCGUAAAUAUCCGAUGUGGGACUUAUUAUUAUAUGUGGGUGUGUGAUGAAUCCCAUAUCGGCUAUUUACGAUAUGUGUGGACUUAUCAUCAUGUAUAGGUGUGUGAUGAGUCCCAGAUCGAUUAUUUACAAUAUGUGUGAUUGUGUGAUGAAUCUCACCUCGGGUAAUUACGGUAAUACUGGGUAAUUACGGUAAUACUGGGUAGACUUUAUUAACAGCUACAACAGCCUCAAUUAGGACUAGUCCAGUUACAUGAUGAUGUGUAGGGUGUGUGAUGAAUAUCUACUGGCUAGAUUUAAAGCCUAAAUCUAUUCAAUAAAUCCUCGAUGUGGGACCCUUUACAUAUUUACAAUCCCGUGAGAUUCAUCACAUACUUACACACAUCACACGUGUGUGAUGAAUCCUAUGUCAAGUAUUUAUCGCACACGAGUAUGAGUGUGAUGAAUCUCACAUCAAAAAUUUACUGCUAAAUCUGAGAUUUAUUAACAACUACGGAUCCUCAAUUGUGACUCGACUUUUUUAGGUAUGCGUCGUUACAACUUCCAACCACUUUGAUCUCUUCCAUUAUCUUGGUUUUCGAAAAAAAAAAAAAAAAAUUUCUAUACAACCUUUUCAAAACUUAUCACGCGCUAUUACAGUUGCUAUUACAGUUAUAAAUCAAAGGUAAUGCUAACGAGAGUCUUUAGUCACUUGUUAAUAAUUUAUUUUAAGAAAAUUUUGAUAUUAUUUUUAUGAAAAAUGAAAAAAAUGGUUAAAAUAUUAAUUUUUUUUUAUUUCUUAUAAAAUCUUUCUUUAAAUAGAUUAUUAACGGGCCGCCCACAAUUAAAAAAUUUUCUUUCUUUCUUAUUUGAACCUACCUGAAGCCUAGAAAUCAAAUCAAAUUACAAUUGAACCAUCUGUUGUUGCGUUGCCUGUUAGGUGAGUGAGUUUAAACUUGCACCUUUCGUAUUUUUAUACACUUUUUUACCCAUACGUAUUUUCACAAAAGUUUUUAAACAACAAUUUUCAGUUUUUAAACACAUGUACCAAACAGAUGUAUCGUUAGACACAUUUUCACCCUCACAUCUUUUAAAAAACUUACAACAACCAUUCUCAAACUAAUCUACCAAACACCCCUUACUCUCUUAACCGUUGGAUCUAAGAAACUCAUUGUCGAUGCAUCCAUUUUGAACCUACCUUAAGUCUAGAAAUCAAAUCAAAUCACAAUUAAACCAUCUGUUGUUGCGGCUCUUACUCCCUUAACCGUUGGAUCUAAGAAGUUUACCGUUGAUGACCCAUACACUGCUUGAUCUCAUAAGCCCAACACUCAAGCUCACAGCUGUUGCAUCUUUCACUCUCUCUGUCUCUCACGUUUAGUUUAAUUUAGUUAGUUUUUUUUUUUUUAUUGGAAUUUGAUGGAAUGAUUUGGCAUGUAAGAUUCACAUUUAUUUUGUUUCAAAUAUUUUAAAGGGCUGUGCAAAUUUUUUGGUAAAAUUUGUUGAUUGGGCUAUAAGUUUUCUUUUACUUUUUAUUAUUGAUUUUGUUGUUGAGUUAAUAUUUUUGGGCAUUCUAAUUUGUUUUUCGAAUUUUAGAUCAGUAAUUUUAAUAUGGGCCUUUUUCUUUUCUUUAUUCCCCCCCCCAAAAAAAAAAGAAGCCAAUGAGCUCCCUGCGUUUAGCAAACCCCACGGUUUUGUUGCGGUUCGAACGGUCCCCAGUUUUGUGGAUUUAAGAAUUGGACUGAUGUCUGGGUUUAGGUUAAUCCGGUUCAACCGGCCAGUCCAGUCCGGUUUUCAAAAUAAUGUACUCCACCCUUCUACACCUCUUCAUCUAAGAUCACCAAAUAUCUCAUUGCCCACAGAGAUCUUCUUUUAUUUAUUUAUUUAUUUGGUAGCUAAUUUGAGUUUGGGGUGAGUUUGUAGUUUAAUAUAUCCAAGUACCCCAACAAAUACACAUCUUCCUCGAUCAAAACCUAUACCCUAUCUCCCAUUCCCCUUCUCUCCCGUUUCACCCACAACCACCACAACUCAGCAGGCAGCAGCAGCAGCAGCACCACCCACAACAACCGCAAACUCUCUGGAUCGAAGAAGAGCCUUUCUCUUUCUCAGUGUAUCUGAGUUCCUUCCUUUUCCUGUCUUCCUCUCCCUCAUAAAUUGGAUCUGGAAUGAAAAUUUAUAAAUAUUUUGUCAUUCUUUUGUUGGUGAUUGGGAUGUUUCUCACAGCGGAUUCGCGUUUGCCUCAGAACUUGAGAGAGUUAAGAUCGGAAACCAUGAAGAAAGGAGACACAAAAGAGUUUUCUGCAGAUUCAAAUAAGGAUCCAUUCAACCCGUAUCCGCAUGACCCCCGACACAACAAAAUGAAUCCCUGAUCUCGUUUGAGGAACAGCAAUAAGAGUUUGAGUUUUUGUAUUUCGUUGAUCUUCAGAUUUUAUAUAUUUUAGUGUUUGGAUUGUUUGGCGUGAGCUGGGUUAUUCAUCAAUCUGUAGUGGGGCUUUUAGAGAGAAAUAGUAGGUGCUUUGAAAAUAAGGAUAGAUCAAUCUCUUAUUGUGGUGUCUCUGUAAUGGCGUGUUCCCCUUUUUUGAUAUCAAUAAACGAAUUACUUAUCAAUAUAUAUAUAUAUAUAUAUAUAUAUAUAUAUAUUUCAGUGUUCUUACUUAUCAAAAAAACGAUAUCAAUCCUUCUUGUGGACCUAAUAAUUUCUCCGUUUAUUGGGCAUCGGUUACUUAGAAUAUUGAUUGAAUAAUUAAGUUCAUUCUUUUUUCUAUCAACUUAAGCUUUUGGAUUUAAAUGGUAAUAAUUUAUUUGGUCUUACAGCAAGUGGUCCUAAUUUCAAAUUAUGUCUUCACUUUAUAAUUAAUUACGCAUGUUGGGUUGCAUUUAAGCAUACUUUGCUGUAUUUUCUAGCAUUAGCUUUGCUCUUUCAUUUUGAGAAGAAAAAUUCAAAAUUGAUUUGUUUAUCAUAGAAGAGGGGGCUUUUGUUUGGUUUGGUGCACAAGUGUGUGUGUGUGUGUUUGAAUAUUGUGUUUGUGUUAUGUGGGUUUGGGCUAUGUAAGCGUUUAUGAGGAACUUUAAUUGUAACUUGAAUUAGUCCAUUUGGGAUAUAGUGCAAAUGUGGCUAGCGCUUCCUCAGGUCGUGACAUUGAGAGUUAGAGCACAUGGGACUAUAUCAAGUUUGGAGAAGCUCAUAUGAGUGGAAAAUUGGGUUGAUAUUUGAUAAGCAAUCCUUUAUAAGCAACUUAUUGUACCCCUUGAGGAGAUAGUUGAUAUUUUGAUGAAUGAAAACAAUGGCCGUUUGGUCUUUCUUUGGCUUGGUGUUGACUCCAGGUCUACCCUAGGUGCUGACUUUUAGUGGUUUUUCCGCUUGGUGCUGACUCCAAGCAAGGCCUAAGUACUGACUCCUAGGUCAUAUCUUUUAUUUUUCAGUUAUUUCAGUUUUGUUCUGGUUGUCUUGCGUCAACUUAAGCAUCAGAAUAAAAGUUGUACAUCAAUUCAGGUGUAAGACAUGCUUAAUUUUCUUAUGAUCAAAUAAUUUCAUAGCAGAAUUGAUUGGAAAUAAAACCAAGCAAAUGAAUUUCAUGAAAACAUUAUAACCAGUGGAUAAACACUACUAAGACUUCAUCUAAUUGCUGUACAUCAGCAUGCUAUUUUGAGUGGAGAGCAUCUUCAGGUCAAUGUUGACUAACCAUUGCCAUUAAUUAGGUUUUCAGAGAGAAUGACAGUUCUCUUGGCACAUAGAACUGAACAGGUGCCACCAAUUCAUGCAGUAAUAGUGGGAAGUGACAUGAAUGCUCAAACGAAGUUUGAGACAGAACUGCGGAGCUUUGUACUAGAGAAAAAAAUUCAGGACCGUGUUCACUUUGUCAACAAAACCCUGACAGUAGCUCCUUAUUUUGCUUCCAUUGAUGUUCUUGUUCAGAACUCCCAGUCCAACUGUUUAAACUAAUUGCUGUGUGGGCCCGAGGAGAGUGCUUUGGGAGGAUAACCAUUGAAGCAAUGGCCUUUCAGCUGCCUCUGUUGGCCGAUGAGUUCCAGCUCAAAUGACACAUCCUCCCUUGCAAGAGCAACAUGUAGGGUGAGGUUGGCCAAUAAGUUCUAGCUCAAAUGGCAACUCCUCCCAAUGUAAGAACAAGGUGAAGGGUGAGGUCAUUGUUCAAAACCCACUUGGUACAUGUGUAAUUACCAAUGAGAGAAAAAAACGAGGGUAAGGUUGUGGGUUCAAAACUCAUUAGGUGCGUGUGUAACUUAUCAAAAAAGAAUAUAAUGUUAUAUCAUUUGGAGUGGAAACUUCCGUUUUCCUCAAAGGUUUAGUUUCAAUUUUGUUUAUUUUCAUAUUGUGUUUGUCAAUCAUCAAUUAUUUUGGCUGUUUUGCUCAGCAUUUGCUAGCAUUAAAUAUAUUAUCAAUUUUGGAUUGAGUUUGUUUUGAUUUGUUUUAUUUUAUUUAUUCAUAUCUUUUCAUCGUCUACCCCUCUCUUGUCAUAUUAUAAUUAUACCACUCUUUUUGCCCUGUUUUAGGAAUUUAUUUUGGAAACAGUAUACAUUUUUUUUAAAACCAUUAACUGCAUAGAUCCUUGUAACUGCACUUGUACAGUAUGAUGGCUUUAUUUUCUUUGAACAAAACUUGAAUAUCAAGCUUAUUAUCUUUCAAUUUUUCAUAUAAUUUUUCUGAUAAUUGCCCCUUCUAGAAAAUUAUUCUCAUAUGAUAGAAUGUGUUUUUUGUUGACUGAAGAAGGUAGGAUAGAAUGGGUUUAAAACUCCUUAGGUGUGUGUAACUUACCAAGCAAAAAAAAGAAAAAAAAAAGAAAAAAAAAACAGAUUGUUUUGUGAUCUCGUUUUUGGUUGGAUCAUCUUCUCCACGUGUGCACUAACGCCCAUAUGCGUGUUUGUGUGUUUUGAUUUCUCCUCAUGUUCCAAUUGACAUCAUUGUUCUCGUCACUGACAAUAUUAUCAGGGCACUGCAGGUGGAGGCACCAUGGAAAUAGUGGUGAAUUGGACGACAGGUUUGUUGCAUCCUGCUGCAAAGGAAGGUGUGACACCUCUUGCAAAUAACAUUGUCAAAUUGGCCACACAUGUAGAAAGGAGGCUAACAAUGGGAAGGAAAGGAUAUGAGAGGGUGAAGGAGAGGUUUCUGGAACCCCACAUGUCACAUAGAAUUGCUCUGGUUUUGAAGGAUGUUCUUCAGAGGGCAAAGAGCCAUGCCACUUGAAUCAAAUGAGAAAUUUUCUUCUCCUUUCAGUUUAGAGGAGCUGGGAUGCCAUCCUCAUGUAAUGAUGAAUCUCAUACACAUGAAAGUCCAUUGUACUUUAUGUAGAAGUUCCAUAGAUAAUUCAAAGUGAGUUGUGAUAUAAUAUUCGGUUUCCUCAAUUGUUUAUAGGAUCAUUGAAGUAUAUCUGGACACUGGAAAAACUUAAGGCAGUUUCUUGUUGAAAA